Molecule: ribosomal RNA, 365 nt
Filed under: Staphylococcus capitis
Lineage: Bacteria; Bacillati; Bacillota; Bacilli; Caryophanales; Staphylococcaceae
Description: partial 23S ribosomal RNA
Rfam family: Bacterial large subunit ribosomal RNA
Source: RNAcentral
AGAUGAAUCAAAGAAGGUAAUAAUCCUGUAGUCGAAAACAUAUUCUCUCUUGAGUGGAUCCUGAGUACGACGGAGCACGUGAAAUUCCGUCGGAAUCUAGGAGGACCAUCUCCUAAGGCUAAAUACUCUCUAGUGACCGAUAGUGAACCAGUACCGUGAGGGAAAGGUGAAAAGUACCCCGGAAGGGGAGUGAAAGAGAACUUGAAACCGUGUGCUUACAAGUAGUCAGAGCCCGUUUAUGGGUGAUGGCGUGCCUUUUGUAGAAUGAACCGGCGAGUUACGAUCUGAUGCAAGGUUAAGCAGCGAAUGUGGAGCCGUAGCGAAAGCGAGUCUGAAUAGGGCGUUGAGUAUUUGGUCGUAGACCC